GCCCAGAUGGCGGAAUUGGUAGACGCACUGCUUUCAGGUAGCAGCGCUCGCAAGGGCGUGGAGGUUCGAGUCCUCUUCUGGGCACCA
This 87-nucleotide transfer RNA is filed under the name Hyphomicrobium sp. RNAcentral describes it as "tRNA-Leu". It matches the Rfam family "tRNA". From Rfam's summary of the family: Transfer RNA (tRNA) molecules are approximately 80 nucleotides in length. Their secondary structure includes four short double-helical elements and three loops (D, anti-codon, and T loops). The record is from RNAcentral. Lineage: Bacteria; Pseudomonadati; Pseudomonadota; Alphaproteobacteria; Hyphomicrobiales; Hyphomicrobiaceae.